This 506-nucleotide ribosomal RNA is filed under the name uncultured bacterium. RNAcentral describes it as "partial 16S ribosomal RNA". It matches the Rfam family "Bacterial small subunit ribosomal RNA", at positions 29 to 523 of the family's 1533-position model. The record is from RNAcentral.
AGUGAACGCCGGCGGUAUGCCUAACACAUGCAAGUCGAACGGCAGCACAGGAGAGCUUUCUCUCUGGGUGGCGAGUGGCGGACGGGUGAGGAAUACAUCGGAAUCUAGUCUGUAGUGGGGGAUAACGUGGGGAAACUUAGUCGAAUACCGCUUACGACCUACGGUUGAAAGCAGGGGCCCUUCGGGCCUUGCUCGAUUGCAUGAGCCGAUGUCGGAUUUGCUAGUUGGCGGGGUAAAGGCCCACCAAGGCGACGAUCCGUAGCUGGCCUUGGAGGAUGAUCAGCAACACUGGAACUGAGACACGGUCCAGACUCCUACGGGAGGCAGCAGUGGGGAAUAUUGGACAAUGGGCGCAAGCCUGAUCCAGCCAUACCGCGUGGGUGAAGAAGGACUUCGGGUUGUAAAGCCCUUUUGUUGGGAAAGAAAUCCAGCUGGCUAAUAACCGGUUGGGAUGACGGUACCCAAAGAAUAAGCACCGGCUAACUUCGUGCCAGCAGCCGCAGUAA